Molecule: ribosomal RNA, 559 nt
Filed under: uncultured bacterium
Lineage: Bacteria
Description: bacterial SSU rRNA
Rfam family: Bacterial small subunit ribosomal RNA
Source: RNAcentral
UCCUACGGGAGGCAGCAGUGGGGAAUCUUGCACAAUGGAGGAAACUGCGAUGCAGCGAUGCCGCGUGAGUGAAGACGGCCCUUGGGUUGUAAAGCUCUUUCGUACGUGAAGAAAAUGACUGUACCCGAAUAAGAAGGUCCCUCUAACUUAGUCCCAGCAGCCGCGGUAAUACGAAGGGACCUAGCGUAGUUCUGCAAUUACUGGGCUUAAAGAGUUCGUAGUUGGUUGAAAAAGUUUGUACUGAAAUCCCUGAGCUUUACUCUGGAAUACCCAUGAAAAAAAGUCAGAUAGGCUGUGCCAGAGGAAAGCUGAAUGUUUUCAGCAGAGACGAAAUUAACCACUUUUGAAAUGAAUACCAACUGUAAUUGCAAAUUUCGGGAUCUCCAUUGGCAUUGCGGAGGGAGAGCGCGGGUAGUGAGCAGGACUUUAUACCUUGGGAGCCCUCGCUUUAUUCCCCGACGAAAGGACGUUGGGAAUCAAGGUCCUUUGUCGCAGAGAAAGCGAUAAACACUCCGAGUGGGGAGCACGACGCAAGGUCCCCACUGAACGAACUGAAGGA